GUCACUUUGCCGGAGUGGUUAACGGGAUCGCCUGCUAUACACGUUCAAGCGCCUGCUGUACAUGUUUCAAAGCGGUUGCACUUUGUGCGCGAGUGUUCGAAUCGCUCAGGUGACG
Non-coding RNA from Termitomyces sp. Mn162, 115 nucleotides. The record is from the annotation of a GenBank genome assembly. NCBI's taxonomy places the organism in Eukaryota, Fungi, Basidiomycota, Agaricomycetes, Agaricales, Lyophyllaceae.